GGGUAGAGAGAGAGGGAGACAUAGAAUCCAAAGCAGGCUCCAGGCUCUGAGUUGUCAGCACAGAGCCCUGACGCAGGGCUUGAACUCAUGGACUGUGAGAUCAUGACCUGAGCUGAAGUAGGAUGCUUAACUGAAUGAGUCAACCAGGCACCCUGGGUAUGUACAUUUUUACAAUUGUUUUAUUCUCUUGUUGGAUUACUCCCUUUAUCAUUAACUAGCUAAUGUUGUUGUCUCUUGUUACAGUUGUUGCUUAAGGUCUAUUUUAUCUAAUAUCAGGUACAGUUACCCAAUUUUUUUUAGUGCUUGCAUUUGCAUGGUAAAUGUUUUUACAUCCCUUUGCUUUCAAUCUGCAUGUGUCUUUAGGUCUGAAGUAAGUCUCUUGUAGGCAGCAUGUAUAUAGGUCUUGCUUUUUAAUCCAGUCACUCUUAUGUCUUUUGAUUGGAGUUAUUAUUCCAUUUACAUUCAAAGUAAUUAUCAAUAGGUAUGUCUUUACUGACAUUUUGUAACUUGUUUUAUGGUUGUUUGUGUAGUUCUUCCCUGUUUCUUUCUUUGCUUGCUCUCUUCCCUUGUGGUGUGCUGGCCUUUAAUGAUAUACUUGUCUUCCUUUUUAUUUUUUUGUGUAUCUGCUAUAGAUUUGUGAUUUGUGGUUACCAUUUGGUUAUAUAUAACGUCUUAUGCAUACAGCAGUCUACAUUAGAUUGGUGGUUGCUUAAAUUGGGAUCCAUUCUAAAAGCACCAGAUUUUUACCCUCGCUCCAAGUUUUAUGUGUAUAUUUUAUAUAUCCUUUUAUUUGUGAAUCCCUUAACUGAUGUUUAUACAUAUAAUUGAUUUCACUGUUCUUCUGUUUUAUCUCUGUAUUUGUAUCAUAUGUACAUAUCUAGUACAUGUACUUAUUUUAUUUCACUUUAUUUUUAAAUUUAUUUAAUCUCUACACACAGUGUAUACAGAGCUCAAACUCAUGACCCUGAGAUCAAGAGUCAUAUGCUCUUCCCACUGAGCCAGCCAGGUGCCUCAAAUCUGGUACUUUUCUUGUUUUUAUUUGCUUAUGCCAGGUUUUUUUCAUAUUUUCUUCUGUUUAUAGCCUUUUCUUUCUACUCACAGUCCAUUUUAACAUUUCUUGUAUGACUGAUUUAGUGGUGAUGAACAUUUUUAACUUGUGUCUGUGAACUCUUUGUUUCUCUUUGUAUUUUGAAUGAUAGCCUUGCUGGGUAGAAUAUUUUUGGUUGCAGGUUCUUUCCCUUUCAGCACUCUGAAUAGAUCCAUCUCCCUCCUUUCUGGCCUGCAAAGUUUCUGAUGAAAAAAAUCAGCUGACAGCCUGAUGGGUUUCUCUUGUAGGUGCCUGUUUUCUUUUCUCUUGCUGUUCUUAAGAUUCACUUUUUAUCACUACUUUUUGCCAUUCUAAUUAUUAUAUGUCUUGGUGUGAACCUCCUUGAGUUGAUUUUGUUGGGGUCUCUCUGUACCUCCUAGAUUUGGAUUUGUUUCCUUCCCCAGAUUAGGGAAGUUUUCAGCUAUUAUUUCCUUAAAUACAUUUUCUCCCCUCUUUUCUUUCUGUUCUCCUUCUAAGAUCCCUAUAAUGUGAUUGUUAUUACACUUGAUAAUGAUCCUGAGUUCCUUUAAUCUAUUCUCCAUUUUUAUUAUUAUUUUUCUUAUUGCUUUUCAGCUGGUUGCUGUCCUCCAGGCUGCUGAUCCAUUCUUCUGCUUCCUCUUUAGUUUACUAUUUAUUUCCUAUAUGUAGUUUUAAAUGUUUGUUUAUUUAUUUUGAGAGACUGAGUGAGUGGGGGAGGGCAGAGAGAGAGAGAGAAUCCCAAGCAGGCUCUGUGAUGUCAGCAUGGACAACAACGUGGGGCUCAAUCCCAGGAACUGUGAGAUCAUGACCUGAGCUGAAACGAAGAGUCCAACACUCAACCGACUGAGCCACACACGCACCCCUCCCUAUAGCAUAUUUUAAUUUCAGUUAUUUAGUUCUUCAUUUCUGAUUGGUUGUUUAUUUUAGGUUUUCUGUCUCUUUGUUGAAGGUGUCAGUGAGAUCCUCCACUCUGUUCUCUCAUCCAGUAUCUUUAUGACCACCUCUAUCAGGUAUAUUGCUUAUCUCCAUUUCUUUAGCUCUUCUGUUGUCAUUUUGUCCUCUUCUCUCAUUUGUGAUCUAUUCUUCUGUCUCCUCAUUUUGUCUAAGUCUUUAUACUUCUUAUUAUGUAAUAGGAAAGUCAGUUAUAUUCUGACUUGAAAUUGGGGCCUGAUGAAGAAGAGGUCCUGUGGCGCUUUGUACAGCACUGUCUCCUGUUCACCAGAGCCAGUGACUAUAGAGGUGACCUGUGUAUUGCAUAUGCCCCACUGUUGUGGCUGAGCCUCAUUUGCCUUCUGUCCAUUUGGCUGCAGUGGCCCCCUUUCUCUUUUGUGGGUAGGAUUUGAUCCUUGUGCUGUUAAGAGGCUAAUCUGAGUCUGUCCCGGACACUAACUUGGGUUAGACCAAAUGCCUGCCAUCAGCCCAUUUUCUGGGGCUGUGGAAUCAUGAGAUUGCAGGACACUCUCCCUGCAUUGUUCCCUGAGAGCUUUUCAUUGGUGAGUGGGGUCUUCAGUGAGACAAAAUCUCUGCCCCCUAUCUUUUAGGGUUGCAGUUACCCUGAACUACAGGGCUUUUUCCUUGUGCUGUCCCCUGUGAGGUUUGUGUUGGUGGGUGGUGUUGGCAGUCUGAUUAGAUAUCUGCCCACAGUGCCCUGCUAGAGCUGCAGUGGGAUUGAUGUGUGUGGUUAUUUUCCCUUCUCCCCAGAGCAGGAGUCACUUCGGAGUGGUGCUGUUCACAGUUGUGUUGUUUGCAGGGUGAUAUUCAUCAGAAGCUAUGGAGAGACUCCACCCCAGUGGAGCAGGUUGAAUGGAGUGAGUCUUCAGUAGAACACAGGGCGUGUGGUGUUAGCAAGAAACAGGUAUAAAUGUGAUGGAUAAAAGGAAAAAUAAAAACAGAUUCAGUUGAAAGUUUACCUAUGAAAAUAACAGGAAAUAAUCUUCCUUUCAGAGGAGAAAGUAGAAAAAUAAUGGUUGGGCUGCAGAAAGAGGCAGGUAAGAAUAUUUAACAUUUUCAUCUAUUUUUAUCCUAAUCCUCUUCCACAGGUUAUUCAGUGUUCAAAGUAAUUACAGCUGUCUAAACCCUAGACUCUUUAAAAACAUCCUUGAAACGGGUAGGUAGGUCCUCAACCCUUGCAAUGAAGCGGUGAGGCCAGCAGUAAUGGGAUACGAGAAUAGCACACUGAAGUUCCAUCCAUCCUUUGAGCAACAACAAUGAAACUAAUAUACUCCCCCCAAUCCACCCCUUGGGACUGUGAGCUGGAGGGGAAAACAGAACAUUUUGUCUGCUGUAACUACAAUUUGGUGGAUUCUU
Molecule: long non-coding RNA, 3373 nt
Organism: Neofelis nebulosa (Clouded leopard)
Lineage: Eukaryota; Metazoa; Chordata; Mammalia; Carnivora; Felidae
Exons: 3
Source: RefSeq, a predicted model, not a curated record